CUCUUGGGCACUCAAUUCCAUGGGUGCCAUUAAAAACUGUGUGAUGUGUAUAAGUACGAAUACAUUUUUUUUUUCUGAUUCCGUCAGAUUCUCAAAAGAAAAUUGUUGCCCCAAAGCAGUAAAGGACUCCUACAAACACAAAAUAUGCCCAAACCAUCUCUUUAACACCAAUCCUUCUGACUCUCCCGCUUCUGCCACAGGUACCAGAGUCUCCUAGGCAAGUUAGCCUUGUCACCUUGUUGUAUUUUGACUUCUCACUGUCUUUACCCUCUGCACUCAGGUAUUCAGUAAGUUCUGUUAAUUCUUCCCAUUCAAUGGCUGUUGGAACUAUUCUAUCUCCAUUGUCACAAUUCUUGACUAUCAGCUGUCCUCUUUUUUAGAUCCUUAAAUAGUAACAUCUUAACCGAAUCAUUAUCACUUGUCCCUACUUGCUCAGAUCUAUCUUACUAGAUGAAUGUUUAAAACACUGUGUUCUUGUUGGCCACUUGUUCAAAGAUUCCGUGGUGUUUCCUUUCCUGGGCAGAACCUUGUACAGUUCAGUCUUGGCCCAUCUUUCCAGCCUCUUACCAACUGAUGUUUUAUCUCCUGGUUAGUAAACACUCUUCUAUUCAUUCAUGUUUGUUGCUUGUUGGUCUGUUUUUCAGACUUGCGAUAUGUCUAUUUGUAGUUCACACCACUGCUUGUCUUUCUUAAGAAAUAAAAAUGCAACUUAUCUCCAAAAGGGGUUAAUUCUUGGACCUGAGAUGUUAUGCUCAUUUCCUGUUCUGAAUUUUUGUUGAUUCUCCAGGGCCCUUCCUGGAGUAGUCCUUCCUUCUAUCCAUCUACAUAUAUUGUUGUUGUUGUUGUUGUUGUUGUUUUUAAGGCUGCACCUGAGGCAUAUGGAAGUUCCCAGGCUAGAGGUCCAAUUGGACCUGCAGCUGCCAGCCUACGCCACAGCCACAGCAAUGUGGGAACUGAGCCACAUCUGCAACCUACACCACAGCUCACUGAAACACCAGAUCCUAACCUACUGAGCGAGGCCAGGGAUUGAACCCACAUCCUCAUGGAUAUCAGUCGGGUUUGUUACCACUGAGCUACAACGAGAAUUCUGCUCACAUUUUUCUUAUUCUACUUUCCACAACAAGCAAUCUCAUACCAUCUGAAACUUCUCUCUCUCCCAGUUAUGAAUUAUUACAGGACUUACUGUUUUACUCAUGUUGACACUUACUUCUAUAAUAUGCUGUAUUGAUAUUUAAACAUUUUAAGCAUUCCUUUCCCAAAUAGAUUAUGAGGCUCUAGGAGGCAAGACUUCUCCCAAAUUAAAUAUGCCCUGUAGCUCUUACCACACUUAUAUACAUCCACUAGGCACAAAUACUUGUCAAGCAUUUAUAAAUGUCAGUGUAAAAAUAUAUGGAGUUUUGCUUAUUCAUAUUAUACAUGACCUUUUCACAUUCCAAAAAAGAGCUGUACUAAAAACUCAAGUGGUCGUUCCUGUAUGUGGAAGUACUUUUAAGUGUUAGUCUAAAAACAAAGUAUUACACAACAGGCUGAGGUGGGAUUUGGUUGGGGGAAAUGUAGAAGCUGUUGGGUUAGAAGUCAUCAGCUGGAGAUAAAAAGAAAUGAAACUAUGAAAAACAGUCAAUGACAAAAGUCUCUUUUACAUCAACUUUUCCGAAAUUCGUUCAUCAUGUAACACGGUUCACAUUUCAAAAAAAAAAGAGGUAUUCAGUAUCCUCGUUUACAUCAUAUAUAGCAUUAUCCUGAGGUAAACUGAGAGAGGACAAAAUUUAUGUUUGGGUUCAGAUUGUGGCUCUGCUGGUUAUUCAGUGUGAUAUCGACCUGGUCAUUGAACUUCUCGGAGCCUUGAGAAGGCUUGAGGCUCUGGUCAUUUAACUUCUCAGAGCCUCUCCCCCCAUCUAGAACACUGAGAUAAUAAUACUUACCUGAUAGGACGUUGUGAGAAUAAAAUGAGGUCGUAUAUACAAGGGCUUUAGUAAAGUGUUUGCAGCCAGUAGGCAAUCAAUCAAUGGUGGCUAAUAUUACUCUUUAUUCAAUGUGGAGAGAGUUGGAGGAAUAGGUGGGUCUGACGGUUCACUUAAGAGACUUGGAGGUGCCAGGGAAGACAUAUGCCAUAAGUAGGGAUGAGUGAUUGUGCAGAGUGAUACAGCAAGGAAGGUCAUUUGGAAUGGUGUAGACGGCACUGAAAGGCUGGGAGGUGAAGAGUAUGGUUGGGCUACUUUAUGCACAAUUAUUUAGAGGUUGCUCUUCCAUGGCAUACAUUAUGUUUUCAAGUUUUUCUGUUUUUUGGUUUUUUGUCUUUUCUAAGCCCACACCAGGGGCAUAUGGAGGUUCCUAGGCUAGGGGUCUAAUCGGAGCUGUAGCCACCCGCCUAUGCCAGAGCCACAGCAACGAGGGAUCUGAGCCGCAUCUUCGACCUACACCACAGCUCCCAGCAACGCUGGAUCCCCAACCCACUGAGUGAGGCCAGGGAUUGAACCUACAACCUCAUGGGUCCUAGUCAGUAGUUAACCACUCAGCCAUGACGGGAACUCCUAUGUUUCCAAGUUUAACUUAUACACUAAAUUAGCAUCUUGACUAGAAUAGGUUUUUAGUAGGUAAAAAAAAUGAGCAUUCUCAGGAUUUCAGUUUUAGUGACAGAAAAGGAAAUUAGGGUGAGAAGUUGAGAACAGAGGGGAUUCUUUCUACAAUGUUGCUCUCCAUCCCUUCCAUACAGACCUGCCUCUGUCAGGGACAGAUUCUUUCCUCCUCAAAGUUAAGACUAUGGCAGCAAAUUGCAAGACUUAACAGCAGAACUAUGUGGAAUAGGAUUGGCUGAGUAGACUCAUGUUAUGUGAUCAAAACACAAAGCAAAAAGGUCAUUCCAGGUGUUCCCGACGUGGCUCAGUGGUUAACAAAUCUGACUAGGAGCCAUGAGGUUGUCGGUUCAAUCCCUGGCCUCGCUCAGUGGGCUGGGGAAUCCGGCAUUGCUGUGAGCUGUGGUGUAGGUCGCAGAUGCGGCUCGGAUCCCAUGUUGCUGUGGCUGUGGCACAGGCUGGCUGCUGCAGCUCCAGUUGGACCCCUAGCAUGGGAACCUCCAUAUGCCGCGGGUGCAGCCGUAGAAAA
Molecule: long non-coding RNA, 3102 nt
Filed under: Sus scrofa (pig)
Lineage: Eukaryota; Metazoa; Chordata; Mammalia; Artiodactyla; Suidae
Description: lncRNA (ENSSSCG00000058438.1)
Source: RNAcentral